CUGGUUGAUCCUGCCAGUAGUUAUAUGCUUGUCUCAAAGAUUAAGCCAUGCAUGUCUAAGUACACACGAAUUAACAGUGAAACCGCAAAAGGCUCAUGAUAUCAGUUUAUGUUCCUUAGAUCGUUUAACAGUUACUUGAAUAAUUCUAGUAAUUCUAGAGCUAAUACAUGCAAUGAAAACACGGACCUUUUGGAACGUGUGCUUUUAUUAGGCUAAAACCAAGCGAUCGCAAGAUCGUUUUAUUGGUUGAACUCUAGAUAACAUGCAGAUCGUAUGCUCUUGUACCGACGACAGAUCUUUCAAAUGUCUGCCCUAUCAACUUUUAAUGGUAGUAUCUAGGACUACCAUGGUUGCAACGGGUAACGGGGAAUCAGAGUUCGACUCCGGGGAGGGAGCCUGAGAAACGGCUACCACAUCUAAGGAAGGCAGCAGGCGCGUAAAUUACCCACUCCCAGCUCGGGCAGGUAGUGACGAAACAUAACAAUACAGGACUCAUAUCCGAGGCCCUGUAAUUGGAAUGAGUACACUUGAAAUCCUUUAACAAGGACGUUUUGGAGGGCAAGUCUGGUGCCAGCUGCCGCGGUAAUUCCAAUAGCUUAUAUU
RNAcentral lists this non-coding RNA (603 nucleotides) under Drosophila virilis. Its description in RNAcentral is "Eukaryotic small subunit ribosomal RNA". It matches the Rfam family "Eukaryotic small subunit ribosomal RNA", at positions 4 to 605 of the family's 1831-position model. The record is from Rfam by way of RNAcentral. Lineage: Eukaryota; Metazoa; Arthropoda; Insecta; Diptera; Drosophilidae.